RNAcentral lists this ribosomal RNA (492 nucleotides) under uncultured bacterium. Its description in RNAcentral is "partial 16S ribosomal RNA". It matches the Rfam family "Bacterial small subunit ribosomal RNA", at positions 29 to 507 of the family's 1533-position model. The record is from RNAcentral.
AGUGAACGCUGGCGGUAGGCCUAAUACAUGCAAGUCGAACGGCAGCACAGUAAGAGCUUGCUCUUACGGGUGGCGAGUGGCGGACGGGUGAGGAAUACAUCGGAAUCUACUUUUUCGUGGGGGAUAACGUAGGGAAACUUACGCUAAUACCGCAUACGACCUACGGGUGAAAGCAGGGGAUCUUCGGACCUUGCGCGAUUGAAUGAGCCGAUGUCGGAUUAGCUAGUUGGCGGGGUAAAGGCCCACCAAGGCGACGAUCCGUAGCUGGUCUGAGAGGAUGAUCAGCCACACUGGAACUGAGACACGGUCCAGACUCCUACGGGAGGCAGCAGUGGGGAAUAUUGGACAAUGGGCGCAAGCCUGAUCCAGCAAUACCGCGUGGGUGAAGAAGGCCUUCGGGUUGUAAAGCCCUUUUGUUGGGAAAGAAAAGAAGCAGGUUAAUACCCCGCUGUUCUGACGGUACCCAAAGAAUAAGCACCGGCUAACUUCGUG